GAGAAUGAAGUGUCUCUUUUCUCUUCCUCAGUGCUGUGUUUUCUUCCUAUGAGAAGAAAAAAGAAAAGACUCCAGAUGCAGAGCCUCAAAUUGUCAGCAGAUUUUUUGAAACUCCCCUGGAAUUUGUAUUGGUGAUACCGAGUUUGGUGCAGACUGACAACUUUAUUUCUUUCUUCCAAGUGUAAAAUGUGAUAUAUGCUUCAUAUAAAAAUUCAAAUCGUGCAGAAAAGCACAAAGAAGACAGUAGAAAUCACUUGAAUUCCCCUUCUCUGAAGAUAGCCACCAUUUAUUUAUGUUUUGCUGAAGACAAAGUCUUGUCUUGAAGGUAAGAUUUACAUUUUGCCUUGGAGACUUCUUUCUAUGAACAUGUACAUGUAAAUGUGAUUGUACAUAAUGUUCUAGAACUUGGCUUUUCUAGUCAACAAUACUUUUGGACAUUUUUCUAUGCAAGUACAUGUAGCUCUGCAUCUGUGAUUCUCAUUAUGUCCUUCUUCCUCUUCUAGAUAAGAGUAUGAUGCAUAAGUGGAAUGACAUGGAAACGUAUAAAAAUGGAGAGACACCAGCAUCAUAAUUCAUAAUAUCAUAUAUCCACUGUACUGAGAUGCUACAUUUUUUUUUACCUUAUUCCUUCAUGGUUGGUGUUUGUUUUCAAUAAUUUAUAAUUAAAAGUUUGUUGGGUCUUUGUUUCCUACAAGUUUUUAAUUUUUUAACCUAUUUAUAGAUACUACUUUUAUCUUUACCCUAACUCUUAUCUAUGGUCUG
Molecule: long non-coding RNA, 762 nt
Filed under: Macaca mulatta (Rhesus monkey)
Lineage: Eukaryota; Metazoa; Chordata; Mammalia; Primates; Cercopithecidae
Description: lncRNA (ENSMMUG00000047989.2)
Source: RNAcentral